CAGUCGCCGCGGGAAUACGGAGGGUGCAAGCGUUAAUCGGAAUUACUGGGCGUAAAGCGCACUCAGGCGGUUUGUUAAGUCAGAUGUGAAAUCCCCGAGCUUAACUUGGGAACUGCAUUUGAAACUGGCAAGCUAGAGUCUUGUAGAGGGGGGUAGAAUCCCAGGUGUAGCGGUGAAAUGCGUAGAGAUCGGGAGGAACAUCAGUGGCGAAGGCGGCCAUCUGGGACAACACUGACGCUGAGGCACGAAAGCGUGGGGAGCAAUCAGGAUUAGAUACCCGUGUAGUCCCUGUCUCUUAUAU
This 301-nucleotide ribosomal RNA is filed under the name uncultured bacterium. Its description in RNAcentral is "partial 16S ribosomal RNA". It matches the Rfam family "Bacterial small subunit ribosomal RNA", at positions 509 to 809 of the family's 1533-position model. The record is from RNAcentral.